AGGGCACCACCAGGAGUGGAGCCUGCGGCUUAAUUUGACUCAACACGGGGAAACUCACCCGGCCCGGACACCGUAAGGAUUGACAGAUUGAUAGCUUUUUCAUGAUUCGGGGGAUGGUGGUGCAUGGCCGUUCUUAGUUCGUGGAGCGAUUUGUCUGGUUUAUUCCGAUAACGAGCGAGACUCUAGCCUACUAAAUAGUUCGCACAUUGUCUCUGUGUGUGUGACUUCUUAGAGGGAUUUUCGGCGUUCAGCCGCACGAAAUUGAUCAUUAACAGGUCUGUGAUGCCCUUAGAUGUCCGGGGCUGCACGCGCGCUACACUGGCAAAAUCAGCGUGCUUGUCCUUCCCCGAAAGGGGUUGGUAAACCCUUGAAAAUUUGCCGUGAUUGGGAUCGGAAAUUGCAAUUAUUUUCCAUGAACGAGGAAUUCCAAGUAAGUGCGAGUCAUCAGCUCGCGUUGAUUACGUCCCUGCCCUUUGUACACACCGCCCGUCGCUGCCCGGGACUGAGCCAUUUCGAGAA
Molecule: ribosomal RNA, 519 nt
Filed under: uncultured eukaryote
Lineage: Eukaryota
Description: SSU rRNA
Rfam family: Eukaryotic small subunit ribosomal RNA
Source: RNAcentral